RNAcentral lists this long non-coding RNA (282 nucleotides) under Lathyrus oleraceus (garden pea). Its description in RNAcentral is "Pisum sativum (pea) long non-coding RNA (PSAT_LNC027210)". The record is from RNAcentral. Lineage: Eukaryota; Viridiplantae; Streptophyta; Magnoliopsida; Fabales; Fabaceae.
ACCUAUGUGUGUUAGACAUGUCUGUUUGUCAGCAUUCAUCAUGCAUAAUGCAUAUACGCAUAAUCAUAGCAUUCAGAUAUUCAUGUUGCAUCUUUUGCCGUAUAUCUGUUGAUUGUUGUCUCCUGCUAAUUGGUGAUACAGAUCUCCCUAGUAGAUCUCCCCAAAAAGAUGUUGGUGUGUUUGAUCUCUCCAUAUAGAGUCAUCCCCUUAGGCAGAAAGUGUCUACCAUUUCCUUUUGCACUCCCCACUGAGUUAUAUCCUCGUGGAUGAUGGUUGUUUCCG